RNAcentral lists this ribosomal RNA (757 nucleotides) under uncultured bacterium. RNAcentral's name for it is "bacterial SSU rRNA". It matches the Rfam family "Bacterial small subunit ribosomal RNA", at positions 644 to 1406 of the family's 1533-position model. The record is from RNAcentral.
GAGUGCGGUUGAGGUGUGCGGAAUUCGUGGUGUAGCGGUGAAAUGCUUAGAUAUCACGAAGAACUCCGAUUGCGAAGGCAGCACACUAAGCCGUAACUGACGUUCAUGCUCGAAAGUGUGGGUAUCAAACAGGAUUAGAUACCCUGGUAGUCCACACGGUAAACGAUGGAUACUCGCUGUUGGCGAUAUACUGUCAGCGGCUUAGCGAAAGCGUUAAGUAUCCCACCUGGGGAGUACGCCGGCAACGGUGAAACUCAAAGGAAUUGACGGGGGCCCGCACAAGCGGAGGAACAUGUGGUUUAAUUCGAUGAUACGCGAGGAACCUUACCCGGGCUUAAAUUGCAAAGGAAUGAUUUGGAAACAGGUCAGUCUUCGGACCUUUGUGAAGGUGCUGCAUGGUUGUCGUCAGCUCGUGCCGUGAGGUGUCGGCUUAAGUGCCAUAACGAGCGCAACCCUCGCCGCCAGUUACUAACAGUUAAAGCUGAGGACUCUGGCGGGACUGCCAUCGUAAGAUGUGAGGAAGGUGGGGAUGACGUCAAAUCAGCACGGCCCUUACGUCCGGGGCUACACACGUGUUACAAUGGGCGGUACAGAAGGCAGCUACCUGGCGACAGGAUGCCAAUCCCUAAAGCCGCUCUCAGUUCGGACUGGAGUCUGCAACCCGACUCCACGAAGCUGGAUUCGCUAGUAAUCGCGCAUCAGCCACGGCGCGGUGAAUACGUUCCCGGGCCUUGUACACACCGCCCGUCAAGCCAUG